UGGGGAAUAUUGGACAAUGGGGGCAACCCUGAUCCAGCAAUGCCGCGUGUGUGAAGAAGGUCUUCGGAUUGUAAAGCACUUUCGACGGGGACGAUGAUGACGGUACCCGUAGAAGAAGCCCCGGCUAACUUCGUGCCAGCAGCCGCGGUAAUACGAAGGGGGCUAGCGUUGCUCGGAAUGACUGGGCGUAAAGGGCGUGUAGGCGGUUUACACAGUCAGAUGUGAAAUCCCCGGGCUUAACCUGGGAGCUGCAUUUGAUACGUGUAGACUAGAGUGUGAGAGAGGGUUGUGGAAUUCCCAGUGUAGAGGUGAAAUUCGUAGAUAUUGGGAAGAACACCGGUGGCGAAGGCGGCAACCUGGCUCAUGACUGACGCUGAGGCGCGAAAGCGUGGGGAGCAAACAGGAUUAGAUACC
This 414-nucleotide ribosomal RNA is filed under the name uncultured bacterium. RNAcentral's name for it is "partial 16S ribosomal RNA". It matches the Rfam family "Bacterial small subunit ribosomal RNA", at positions 355 to 786 of the family's 1533-position model. The record is from RNAcentral.